UUGUUGCUGUCGAAAAUUUGCAAAGUUCGCCGCGUCUUUUUACGUUCUCCGGGGUAAAAGAUGUUUUUCUUCGAGUUCAUUCGCCGGAUUCUGUUACGGAACCCCAGUGGUAUGGCUAGAGACGCCGUUCCGGAUCGAGCGGGGCUGAUUCAUUUGCUGCUACCGCACCGGGUGUUGAAAUUUCUACCCCAUUGGAUUCCUUGGAUCUGGACAUUGUGUUUUUCAGCGCCUGAAGUUCACCUAUAAAAAUGUGCAGCAUAGCGGUUUUCGUACAGCAGAAAGUGAGCGGAAAUUAAUAUCAUAAUCUCAUCCAGUUAAUAUUGCGAAUAGGUGCAGGAUGUCCGGUAGGAAGUACGACAGCCAUUGGUGUUAACAGAACCCCGGUAUAAUUAGGUGGUUUUCUGGUUACGAUAAAACGUCCGUCAGCUCGAUCGCUCGCCUGGGAUUUCUGCAGAGCAGAGAUAGCGGUCUGAAUUAAAAAAAAACGAUUAUGUGAAAAAUCAAUUAAUAGAAAAGCAAUAAAAUGAAAUUUUCGAUGACAUAAAGACGUGAA
Long non-coding RNA from Uranotaenia lowii, 553 nucleotides. RefSeq lists it as uncharacterized. The record is from RefSeq and is a predicted model, not a curated record. The transcript has 2 exons. Lineage: Eukaryota; Metazoa; Arthropoda; Insecta; Diptera; Culicidae.